GGAGGGUGCAAGCGUUAUCCGGAUUCACUGGGUUUAAAGGGUGCGUAGGAGGGCAGGUAAGUCAGUGGUGAAAUCUCCGAGCUUAACUUGGAAACUGCCGUUGAUACUAUCUGCCUUGAAUAUUGUGGAGGUGAGCGGAAUAUGUCAUGUAGCGGUGAAAUGCUUAGAUAUGACAUAGAACACCAAUUGCGAAGGCAGCUCGCUACACAUAUAUUGACUCUGAGGCACGAAAGCGUGGGGAUCAAACAGGAUUAGAUACCCUGGUAGUCCACGCCCUAAACGAUGGAUACUCGACAUACGCGAUACACUGUGUGUGUCUGAGCGAAAGCAUUAAGUAUCCCACCUGGGAAGUACGACCGCAAGGUUG
Molecule: ribosomal RNA, 367 nt
Filed under: uncultured bacterium
Lineage: Bacteria
Description: bacterial SSU rRNA
Rfam family: Bacterial small subunit ribosomal RNA
Source: RNAcentral